Molecule: ribosomal RNA, 271 nt
Filed under: uncultured bacterium
Lineage: Bacteria
Description: partial 16S ribosomal RNA
Rfam family: Bacterial small subunit ribosomal RNA
Source: RNAcentral
UACGAAGGGUGCUAGCGUUGUUCGGAAUUACUGGGCGUAAAGCGCGCGUAGGCGGCCUCGCAAGUUGGAAGUGAAAUCCCAGGGCUUAACCCUGGAAUUGCUUUCAAAACUGCAAGGCUAGAGAAUGGUAGGGGAAAGUGGAAUUCCUAGUGUAGAGGUGAAAUUCGUAGAUAUUAGGAGGAACACCAGAGGCGAAGGCGGCUUUCUGGGCCAUUUCUGACGCUAAGGCGCGAAAGCGUGGGGAGCAAACAGGAUUAGAUACCCCGGUAGU